This 391-nucleotide ribosomal RNA is filed under the name Vibrio pectenicida. Its description in RNAcentral is "bacterial SSU rRNA". It matches the Rfam family "Bacterial small subunit ribosomal RNA", at positions 341 to 724 of the family's 1533-position model. Lineage: Bacteria; Pseudomonadati; Pseudomonadota; Gammaproteobacteria; Vibrionales; Vibrionaceae. The record is from RNAcentral.
ACGGGAGGCAGCAGUGGGGAAUAUUGCACAAUGGGCGCAAGCCUGAUGCAGCCAUGCCGCGUGUAUGAAGAAGGCCUUCGGGUUGUAAAGUACUUUCAGCAGUGAGGAAGGUAGUCGUGUUAAUAGCGCUAUUAUUUGACGUUAGCUGCAGAAGAAGCACCGGCUAACUCCGUGCCAGCAGCCGCGGUAAUACGGAGGGUGCGAGCGUUAAUCGGAAUUACUGGGCGUAAAGCGCAUGCAGGUGGAUGAUUAAGUCAGAUGUGAAAGCCCGGGGCUCAACCUCGGAAUAGCAUUUGAAACUGGUUAUCUAGAGUACUGUAGAGGGGGGUAGAAUUUCAGGUGUAGCGGUGAAAUGCGUAGAGAUCUGAAGGAAUACCGGUGGCGAAGGCGG